Magnolia sinica is the source of this 612-nucleotide long non-coding RNA. RefSeq lists it as uncharacterized. The record is from RefSeq and is a predicted model, not a curated record. The transcript is spliced from 2 exons. NCBI's taxonomy places the organism in Eukaryota, Viridiplantae, Streptophyta, Magnoliopsida, Magnoliales, Magnoliaceae.
UCACGGUGGCACUCAAAGCUCCUACCCGUUCCCAGCUGGAGACCGGUCCCAUUGAAAAUGGAUAGAUACGCAAAAAUCCAACGUGCUGAGGUGGCUCUCUAAACUAGAGAUGAAUUUAAUGAGAAGAGUAUCAAAUCUUCCAAAGGAGGUAUAAGGAAUUAUGAUACGUAGCAUGCUUCACUCCAUCCCUCGCCUAUAAAAAUGGCACACAUCCAACAGUCUCCUCAUCACCCAACUUACAAUCUCAACCACAUACCUGUAAUAAAACCGGCAAAAAAAUGGCCCCUUCCAGCUUCAUCAAACGACUCAUAAUGGCCCUUGUCUUGGUGGCUUUCAUCCUUUCUUCCGUCUCUGUUAAAAACGUGGGAGCUCAGCCUCACUGCAUAGGAGACUGUGUGGGCUUUGAAAAUUGCGACCAGGCGUGCUAUGAUAAGGGUUAUUCAGGGGGGAGCUGCCAAGUUGUUGGUCAUGUCAUUGACUGCUGUUGCCGUGAUUAGCCUCUCUUCUUAUCUCUUCUCACCUUUAAUUUUCAUCUAUUGUUGCGCUACAAGACGAUGCAUAAUAAGUGAAUAAAACUGAUGGGGUAUAUACAUACCCUUUUCUCCUUUUAAA